GCCUCCUCCUCUUCCUCCUCCAUCUUUCUCCGCAGCCGAACUCUCUUGUGGUGAUUCCUUAGAUUUCAUGAUGGCAUAGACGAUAGCAAGAUCGUGGACAUGCUUUCCACAGGCUUUCUUGAACUGUGAACUCUCCGUGGUCCUUUUUCGCUUCCUUGAUCCUUUCUUCCCGAGGAAGAACUCCAAGGAAGAAGAAGAGGAGGAGUAGGAGGAGGAGGAGGGGAUGGUGACCGCCGUUGAUAGUUCAAGAAAGCCCGUGGAAACCGUGACAGAUCUUUCCGAGUCUUGGAUGUAGGUUUUGUAUGAUUUCUUCCGCUCGCUGAAUUAGUGUGUUCUGUGUUGAUUGGGUGGGAAUCGUACUGGAACAACUGAUUACAUGUUUCACAUAUCCCAAUUGUGCGAUUGCCUGUUAUGAAUCGAUUGAAUUCUGAUUUAAGUAGUUGUUUUCCUCAUCUGGAAGAUGCUUUCUUUUGAGAUCUUGCCUUCUUUGAUAAGCAACUGGUCUUGUUUUUGUUGCAGAAUUGGAGAAUACGGAGCUAAAAGCCCCAGAAGCAUUGUAGGAUUCAGCAAGGCUGAGAUGAUGUGUGCACUAAAAGGUUGCCAGAAGUCAAACCAAGCCUCAUGCUGCUCCACUCCAACUAUUGACAUGUUCCAUGAAACAAGAAAUUAAAUCCAGGCAAUGGCAGUGUCUUUGAUGGCUUUGAAGAAGAACAGCCAGAACACAAGGCAGAUGGAUCAAUUUAUUGUGGACUCAAUGCUUAUGGUGCAAAAUGCUAGUUUUUAUUUUGAGACAAAGGACCAGCGACCAUUCCAGCUCAGAGAUGAAAAGGCAGGACAGUUUUUAAGGAGUGCCAUCUCAGUUGUGGGAGGACUUGGUGGGGAUACUGUGGCACCAAGAGACAAGAUACAGCAAGAUGGCACAUUUUCAUAGCUGAAAACCUCAACAUACAUAUACCUACAUUAUCUGUUCGUCUUUCGUGACACAUACUUGGCUUCUAACUCGAACAAAGAUCCAUUGCUCACUAACAGCAGGUUUACAUUUUUGGCUCCAGGAGGAGGAAGAAGAGAGAUUAAUUAUUUUGGAUCAAUGACAUAUGAUAAAAUUAAUGGAUUGUGGAUUCGAUUCGAGAAUCCCAUGUAUAGCGGAAUCUCGUGAACGGGGGUUGUAAUUAAAUCCAGGGGAUGGCAGUGUCUUUGAUGGCUUUGAAGAAGAAUAGCCAGAACACAAGGCAGAUGGAUCAAUUUAUUGUGGACUCAAUGCUUAUGGUGCAAAGUGCAAGUUUUUUGUUUUUGUGAGACACAGGACCAGCGACCAUUCCAGCUCAGAGAUGAAAAAGCAGGACAGUAAGGAGUGCCAUCUCAAUCGUGGGAGGACAUGGUGGGGAUACUGUGGCACCAAGAGACAAGAUACAGCAAGAUGGCACAUUUCCAUAGCUGAAAACCUGAACAUACAUACUAUACAUGCAUUAUCUGUUCGUCUUUCCUGACUCAUACUUAGCUUCUAACUCGAACAAAGAUCCAUUGCUCACUAACAGCAGGUUUACAUUUUUGGCUCCAGGAGGAGGACGAAGAGAGAUUAAUUAUUUUGGAUCAAUGACAUAUGAUCGAAUUAAUGGAUUCGAUUGGAGAAUCCCAUAUAUAUAGCGGAAUCUCGUGAACGGGGAUUGUAAUGGUGAUCCGAUGGUCCAAAGCCGGGACGAAUCGGUAAAAAGAUCCACCCUACUUGCGCCGGGUCGAUGGGCGAAUCGCCCGAAUAACGGCAUCCGCGUCUUGAUUUCCUUUCUCUUCCCUCGUUUGGUCAUCCCACUUGACAUCGGCCUCAACCUCACCUGAGAAGAUCGUGGCCGAGGAUAUAUGGAUUGGAGGAUCGGGCAUGGAAUAAGGUGCAAAGUUAGGGUUUGUACUCGUGUCUCACUGAUGAUGCAAAUAUAUCGGUGAUUAUUCUGUAAAAGCUCGAUAACUAUUCUUGCAGUAUGAAGUGUAGAAUUGAAGUAGUCGGGAUCGAGUUGCCCUCUCGCAUAGCUGGCGUGGGGCUUCAUCGGGCUUUUGAGAGGUGACAUCGACCUGGACGGUCGAUACUACCUUCCGUGCAUGACUCCUUGCUGCAUGUACAUUUACUUUGCAAGAUCACCCUUAAUUUCAUGUUGUAGAAUCUAAAAGAAACAUAUAAACAGAUUGAAAUUCUGAU
Long non-coding RNA from Musa acuminata AAA Group (dessert banana), 2188 nucleotides. RefSeq lists it as uncharacterized. The record is from RefSeq and is a predicted model, not a curated record. NCBI's taxonomy places the organism in Eukaryota, Viridiplantae, Streptophyta, Magnoliopsida, Zingiberales, Musaceae. The transcript has 4 exons.